This 376-nucleotide long non-coding RNA is filed under the name Lathyrus oleraceus (garden pea). RNAcentral's name for it is "Pisum sativum (pea) long non-coding RNA (PSAT_LNC016295)". The record is from RNAcentral. Lineage: Eukaryota; Viridiplantae; Streptophyta; Magnoliopsida; Fabales; Fabaceae.
CAUAUUUGGGAGACUCAAGGUGUUAAAACGAUAUCGAUCUUAUGAACUGUUCCCAAGUCUCUGCAAACUAAUCCCAAAUUAGACUAUAGCCCAGAACUUUCAAAAAGAUGCAAAAAAAAAAUUUAUUUUAUUUUUAUUUUUAUUAUAAUAACUGAAAAAAAAAACAAAAAAAAACAAAGGUCUCCCUCCCCCAGACUUAAAACAAGCAUUGUCCUCAAUGAAAGGACAUAAUUAUUAAAGUAAAGAGAAGGAAAGGACAACUCCCUGAUCAAGUUGCAGUAUAGUUAGACGCUUCCAAAGAAAGCUCCUCUAUACCGACAUCUUCAGGCACCGAACCUCCAUAGAAUAACUUCAGACGCUGCCCGUUAACCUUAAA